CUUUUGCAAGUCAUUAAACCACUAGUGAAUAAGGGGUGGGCAAGUUUUGGUGUCAGCCGCCGCGGUAAAACCAGCACCUCAAGUGGUCAGGAGGAUUAUUGGGCCUAAAGCAUCCGUAGCCGGCUCUGUAAGUUUUCGGUUAAAUCCAUGUGCUCAACGCAUGGGCUGUCGAAAAUACUGCAUAGCUAGGGAGUGGGAGAGGUAGACGGUACUCGGUAGGAAGGGGUAAAAUCCUUUGAUCUAUCGAUGACCACCUGUGGCGAAGGCGGUCUACCAGAACACGUUCGACGGUGAGGGAUGAAAGCUGGGGGAGCAAACCGGAUUAGAUACCCGGGUAGUCCCAGCUGUAAACGAUGCAGACUCGAUGAUGCAUUGGCAUAUAGCCAGUGCAGUGUCGCAGGGAAGCCGUUAAGUCUGCCGCCUGGGAAGUACGUACGCAAGUAUGAAACUUAAAGGAA
This 458-nucleotide ribosomal RNA is filed under the name uncultured marine group I thaumarchaeote. RNAcentral's name for it is "bacterial SSU rRNA". It matches the Rfam family "Archaeal small subunit ribosomal RNA", at positions 407 to 864 of the family's 1478-position model. The record is from RNAcentral. Lineage: Archaea; Thermoproteati; Nitrososphaerota.